UGGGGAAUUUUGGACAAUGGGCGAAAGCCUGAUCCAGCAAUGCCGCGUGUGUGAAGAAGGCCUUCGGGUUGUAAAGCACUUUUGUCCGGAAAGAAAUCCUUGGCUCUAAUACAGUCGGGGGAUGACGGUACCGGAAGAAUAAGCACCGGCUAACUACGUGUCAGCAGCCGCGGUAAUACGUAGGGUGCAAGCGUUAAUCGGAAUUACUGGGCGUAAAGCGUGCGCAGGCGGUUUGCUAAGACCGAUGUGAAAUCCCCGGGCUCAACCUGGGAACUGCAUUGGUGACUGGCAGGCUAGAGUAUGGCAGAGGGGGGUAGAAUUCCACGUGUAGCAGUGAAAUGCGUAGAGAUGUGGAGGAAUACCGAUGGCGAAGGCAGCCCCCUGGGCCAAUACUGACGCUCAUGCACGAAAGCGUGGGGAGCAAAACAGGAUUAGAUACCCUGGUAGUCCACGCCCUAAACGAUGUCAACUAGUUGUUGGGGACUUCAUUUCCUUAGUAACGUAGCUAACGCGUGAAGUUGACCGCCUGGGGAGUACGGUCGCAAGAUUAAAACUUAAAUGAAUUGACGGGGUCAUAGCUG
RNAcentral lists this ribosomal RNA (581 nucleotides) under uncultured bacterium. RNAcentral describes it as "partial 16S ribosomal RNA". It matches the Rfam family "Bacterial small subunit ribosomal RNA", at positions 355 to 932 of the family's 1533-position model. The record is from RNAcentral.